Molecule: non-coding RNA, 473 nt
Organism: Zonotrichia albicollis (white-throated sparrow)
Lineage: Eukaryota; Metazoa; Chordata; Aves; Passeriformes; Passerellidae
Source: RefSeq, a predicted model, not a curated record
GGGUAAACUGCAGCUCCUCAGAACAAAUGUGAAUGUCAGAAGCCCCUGGGAGAGAUGAGAUUACCCAAAGGUUAGGUCCAAAAACAAAGCUUCAGUGUGUUGAGCAUGCCAGAAAACUUCUUUUCAAAACAGACCUCAUGUGAUUCUUGCUUAUGGAAAUGGAAUGACACAUUGGGAAGCUAAAAUAACAACUGCCAACAUGUGAGGAAAUACUUCAACUCUCAUGGAAAUAAGUAGGGAAAGUAAUCAUAGCUUCUUACUCAUUUUUGCCUGCAGAGGAAGGAGACCAACUUUUCUUUGAAGACUAUUCAUACUGUAAUUGAACCAUGGUAAUUACUAUGCAAACAAUACCUACUUUAGCUUCAGGAAAUUUAUGAUUUCAUUAUUUGUUUUCUUGUUUGUUUCCCACUGCCUGCAAAUCAGUGGCUAGAUAAAGAUUAGUCUGGUGAACCCUUUGAUAGUUUGGUCAAUAC